UCAUUGUUGUUUUCUUGUUCCUUUCUAAAUAACAAAUUAUUGAUUUCUCCUUCUAAUCUCUUUUUCUCUCUGAGUCUGAGUCUUCUCUUUUGAUACAGAACUGGUAUUUAUAGCAUUAAUCAUUUCAAUGAACAAAGAACACCUGGGAGAUUUUUUCCACUUGGUUCAUAGUUCCCAGUCCCUCAUGAUCAAUCUUUUUUCAGUUCUUAAUCUAAAAUAAUCAUUUUCUAAUUUAACAUUUUUAAAUUAAUAAUUUUAAACAAUUGCAAAAUAAUUAUUGUAUUAUAUUUCUACAAAACAAGGGAGGCAGUCCAGGGAGGUCUCAGAAUCUCACAUCAUUUUCAGGAUAGAGUAUUUUUUUUCUGUACCCUCAAGACAUUUGUGUUUUUUAAUCUGCUUCAAUAAUUCUGCUUCUUGUUGCAUCAAUGGUGAAGAUUUUUCCUGUCAGUGCCUCUCUGUUGAGAUAUUGAAUUUUGACUUUUUUUGCUUUUAAAUGUGCCAGAAACUGUAGUUUUUUUCUGAAUAAUAUACAAUUUUCAUUUUUUAUAAUUUUUAUUUUCUGUUUUUAGGAUUAAAUAUUGCAAUUACUAAAUAAUGAUUAAAUAAAAAUGACAUGUAUCAAUCAUGCCAAUUUGUUGACAGUUUAAAAAUAAACUGAAAUCCAUUAUAUUCCAUUAUGCGAAUCCACUGAAUCUAUCAUGACUACCUGGCAUCAUGUGCAGAAUGCAGAAAUAUAUAGCAUAAGUCAGAGAAUAGCUAUAUAUCCAAUCAGAUUGGAAAUCUUCUAUUUUCACAGCAGUGGUAUACCCAGAAUCUUUAGUACUUGGGAUGGCAUUUUUUGCACCCCCUCUUCCCCUCUAAAAACAUGUGUUUUAACCAUCAAUGAUCAGCUUUCAAUACAUAUUUUAUUUUACAUUCUUAAAUAAUUUUUAAUUAAAAACUGAAAAUGAGACAAAAAUUUUCAUACACAGAUCUGGU
This 978-nucleotide long non-coding RNA is filed under the name Androctonus crassicauda. Lineage: Eukaryota; Metazoa; Arthropoda; Arachnida; Scorpiones; Buthidae. The record is from RNAcentral.